RNAcentral lists this ribosomal RNA (326 nucleotides) under uncultured bacterium. RNAcentral's name for it is "bacterial SSU rRNA". It matches the Rfam family "Bacterial small subunit ribosomal RNA", at positions 28 to 351 of the family's 1533-position model. The record is from RNAcentral.
GACGAACGCUGGCGGCGUGCUUAACACAUGCAAGUCGAGCGGUAAGGCCCUUUCGGGGGUACGACGAGCGGCGAACGGGUGAGUAACACGUGGGUGACCUGCCCUUACGCUCUGGGAUAAGCCUGGGAAACUGGGUCGUAAUACCGGAUAUGACUCCAUGACGCAUGUUGUGGGGUGGAAAGCCUUGUGCGGCUGAGGAUGGGCCCGCGGCCUAUCAGCUUGUUGGUGGGGUGAUGGCCUACCAAGGCGACGACGGGUAGCCGGCCUGAGAGGGCGAUCGGCCACACUGGGACUGAGACACGGCCCAGACUCCUACGGGGAGGCAG